CCUACGGGAGGCAGCAGUGGGGAAUAUUGGACAAUGGGGGCAACCCUGAUCCAGCGACGCCGCGUGUGUGAAGAAGGCCUGCGGGUUGUAAAGCACUUUUAGUGGGGAGGAAGGCCCUCGACCUAAUACGUCGGAGGAUUGACUUAACCCACAGAAAAAGCACCGGCUAACUCUGUGCCAGCAGCCGCGGUAAUACAGAGGGUGCAAGCGUUAAUCGGAAUUACUGGGCGUAAAGCGUGCGUAGGCGGUUUCGUAAGUCGGAUGUGAAAGCCCCGGGCUCAACCUGGGAAUUGCCAUUCGAGACUGCGGAGCUCGAGUGCGGAAGAGGGAAGUGGAAUUUCCGGUGUAGCGGUGAAAUGCGUAGAUAUCGGAAGGAACAUCAGUGGCGAAAGCGACUUCCUGGUCCAGCACUGACGCUCAGGCACGAAAGCGUGGGGAGCAAACAGGAUUAGAUACCCUGGUAGUCCACGCCCUAAACGAUGUCAACUAGUUGUCGGGCCUAAUUGAGGGUUUGGUAACGUAGCUAACGCGUGAAGUUGACCGCCUGGGGAGUACGAUCGCAAGAUUAAAACUCAAAGGAAUUGACGG
Molecule: ribosomal RNA, 588 nt
Filed under: uncultured bacterium
Lineage: Bacteria
Description: bacterial SSU rRNA
Rfam family: Bacterial small subunit ribosomal RNA
Source: RNAcentral